Molecule: small nuclear RNA, 106 nt
Organism: Megalopta genalis
Lineage: Eukaryota; Metazoa; Arthropoda; Insecta; Hymenoptera; Halictidae
Source: RefSeq, a predicted model, not a curated record
CCUGCUUCGGCAGCACAUGCUGCCGAAAUCGAAACGACACAGAGAAGAUUAGCAUGGACCGUGCGCAAGGAUGCCGCGCAAAAAUCGUGCGCGGUUCGUAUUACAC